UACGAGUGCCUCAAGCGUUAUCCGGAAUCAUUGGGCGUAAAGGAUGUGUAGGUGGUUGUGUUAGUCUUUUGUUAAAUUCUUCGGCUUAACCGGGGGCAUGCAAGGGAAACGGCACGACUAGAGGAUGCGAGGGGUUUCUGGAACUCAUAGUGUAGCGGUGAAAUGCGUUGAUAUUAUGGGGAACACCAAAAGCGAAGGCAAGAAACUGGAGCACUCCUGACACUGAAACAUGAAAGCGUGGGUCGCGAAUGGG
This 253-nucleotide ribosomal RNA is filed under the name uncultured bacterium. RNAcentral describes it as "partial 16S ribosomal RNA". It matches the Rfam family "Bacterial small subunit ribosomal RNA", at positions 524 to 776 of the family's 1533-position model. The record is from RNAcentral.